Ailuropoda melanoleuca (giant panda) is the source of this 6212-nucleotide RNA transcript. It is a transcript of the gene named coiled-coil domain containing 69, with no coding region annotated. NCBI's taxonomy places the organism in Eukaryota, Metazoa, Chordata, Mammalia, Carnivora, Ursidae. The record is from RefSeq and is a predicted model, not a curated record. The transcript has 13 exons.
GGGCGGGCAGCGUUCAGCGGGGCCGGGACGGCUGGGUCCUCUGGGGGCGUCCCCGGAGUUGGGAGGCGGCGUCCGGGAGUCCCCGGAGGAGGAUGGGCUGCGGACACAGCCGGCUGAGCUGCUGCAAAGCCCCCAAAAAGAAGCCCUCUUCACGCAGGGGUUGACAGCUGAGUGUGUCAGAUCGCCCACCCUGCUCUGCCCGGCGCAAGUGAGCAUGACAGGAUUGACACAGGAUGAGGUGGCCGGAUGACCUCACUCUGCCCCUUCUACAUCGAAGCAUUUCAACACUAGAAGGACUCUGAUGUAUGGCAUUGCCCAACUCCAGGCCAUAGAGAAGAGGAAACAGAAGCCCAGAGAGAGGCACCAAAAACCAGAUCAGCCACCCAGACCAGAGCCACAGGAACUAGGUCCCCUCAAUGGGGACACAGCCACAGCUGUCCAGCUCUGUGCAUCUGAGGAAGCUGAGCAGUGCCAGAAGGAGAUAACCAGAGUUCUCCAGCAACACGAAGAGGACAGGAAGAAAUGGGCAGAACAGGUGGAGAAGGAGAGGGAGCUAGAGCUUCGAGAGAAACUGGAUGAACAGCGAAGAGUCCUGAAGGGAGAGCAUGAGGAGACCCUGCAAGUCCUCCGGGCCUCACAUGAGCAGGAGAAGGAAACCCUUACCCACUCCUUCCAGGAGGCCAAGGCAACCCUGCAGGAGACCAUUGAUGGACUGUCCUCACAGCUGGAGGUCUUCCAGGCCAAGAUGAAGAGGGUAGAAGAGUCCAUUCUGAGCCGAGACUGUAAGAAGCACAUCCAGGAUUACGGGAGCCCCAGCCAGUUCUGGGAGCAGGAACUGGAGAGCCUACACUUUGUCAUCGAGAUGAAGAAUGAACGUAUUCACGAGCUGGACAAGCGGCUGAUCCUCAUGGAAACAGUGAAAGAAAAAAAUCUGAUGCUGGAGGAAAAAAUCAGCACCCUGCAGCAGGAGAAUGAGGACCUCCAUGUCCGGGCCCGCAACCAGAUGGUUAUGUCAAGGCAGCUCUCCGAGGACCUGCUUCUCGCCCGCGAGGCCCUGGAGAAGGAGUCCCAGUUGCGGCGCCAGCUUCAGCAGGAGAAGGAGGAGCUGCUGUACCGGGUGCUCGGGACCGAUGCCUCCCCUACCUUCCCCCUGGCCUCUGUCACCCCCACCGAGGUCUCCUUCCUCGCCAGCUAGGGCCCAGGGCCUGGGCCCAUGACGCCUGUGGUCACAGCUCCCUCUUGAGGACUUACCAGAGAAGACAGCAGGAGCCUCUCCUUUUCCCAGGAAGGGCGGAGGGCAGGCGUGAGAUGGGAGCCAGGGUGUGUGCCCAGUGAGCCCUGGGGGCUUGGGCCAUGAAGGAUCACCCAUGGGGCUUCCAUUGAGUUGGCCCAGGGAGCAAGCAAGAGGAGUCCUUCCGUCCCUCCCUGUUCUCUCUGUUCAAAUCAGGGAAGUCCUGAGCUUUUCCCAGGGGCAGCCAGUGCGGCUGAGGCCAUCUGACAAAGAGACAACCCCCCUGGUCCUGACUUGUUAGCUUCCCCCAGAUGUUCUCGCCUCUGCUCAGACCAUCCCUUAGCCUCAGUUUACCUCUCCUCUAAAAGAGCCAGGGGGACUGAACGAAUGAUACUUGAGUCUCUACAGUGUCCCAUUCUAGGAUCGUCUGAAGGUCAGAUUAGGGGCUGGGGGACAAAAGAGAAAGUGGGCCAAACCCUGGGAAUCAACAGGGAAAAGUAAGCAGCUGUAAAGGGGGUCACUAGAGGCCCUCGGGGCUGACAGUGCCAUGGCCCAACCCAGCCGACACAGGGGCUGGGCAGGACCUGGGGCAUGCUACUGCUCCUGGUCGCAGAGUCCAGUCAGCCCAGGGGCUAAGCCAGAGCUCCUCCUACCUGACCAGGCCAGGAUCACUCCCUCAGCCCUCUGGGUCUCUCAGUCUUGGUGCAUGGGCCACCUCGUGGGUCUGGAUACACCUGACCGCCAGAGUUGGAACCUUAUCCCUGCACAGGUGAGGAAACCAAGGUGGGGAGUGGGACCCACAAAGCCAGGACUAGGACCUCAUCUGUCAUCCAGCUCUUUUUUCUCCACAGGCUCUGGAAAGAUCAGAUGUGGGACUUAGUCUUCCUCCUCCUUCCUCCAGCUGUCCCCAGCCACUUCCAGGCUCUCUCUUCCUCUUGCUCCCUACCUUUACUCCUUCUACCACCCCUGAUGCCAGGCGCCAGGACCCCAGAGCCUGGCCCUCAGCUUCCCCAUCAGUGCAGAGGGGUGGCCAUAGUCACCAACCUCAGCAGGCCUGUCCAGCCCAGACUGUCUGUGGAUUCAAUAUUCUUCUCAGGAAGCUUUGGGUCAGCUGGACACUGUAAUGAGAACCCCUCCCCUGCACAGAGCAUUUUAAUUCAAUGCUCUCACAUACACCCCCCUCCUGUCAGCUACCUAAGAUUCUCGAGGCCAGUUCUUAGCCCUCUUCAGCAGCAGAGCAAACUGAGAUCACAGGAGCCGGAGGGCCUUGCCUGAGAUUCCCCAGCUCCAGCCCCAGGCACCAGACCAGCGGGCCUCUGGGGAGCUCACCUUCACCAUGUCUUUGCUGGUCCACCCUCCCGCCAAGGCUCCUGUCAAAUUCCAGCUCUUCCAAGAAGCCCUUUUAAGAAUUCCUGAAGUUGUCUGUGCUGGUGGAUCUCCUGUGUGACCCAGCUGCUCUCCAGGUGUUUGAGGGCUCUGGGGCUAAGUUCUUUGAGAGGAAGGAACAUCACUACCACCCGUCGAGUAACACCUUAGGAAGGUCUGGCCCACGCAGGUGCCCGGGAAACACUUGCUAAUGGAUUUUGUCCGUCUCUUCUUACACACCAGCCGGAAGGCCUGAGCACUUGCCCCAGCCCCGUGUUUGCGAGAUCUGGGCCGGUCUGGUCUCUGCUUGAAUGUCACCUCAGAGAAGACUGACCACUCUGUCUUAAGAAGACCCUAUCAGGUUGCCCUGUUGUAUGAGACUUCGAUGUAGCGCUUAGUAUGCUCUCCAUGAUCAUGUUCAUUUCCCACGUCUUCCUCCCCGUUUAGAUUGUGAGCUUGCAGACAGCAGAAGCCAGAGUUCUCUUGGCCUCAUCCUUGUGGUCUCCACAUUAAGUACGGUGUCUAGCACAUGGUGGGUGCUCAGUAACUAUUAUUGGACAAAUUAACAAAAAAACACAUUACACAUUUUAUACAGGAACUAAACAAGGAAACAGAGGCCCAGACAAGGGAAGUGACUUGCCCAAGGUCACUCAGAGUAGCAGUCCAGCAGUGGUUCCACUCUGCCACUAUCGCUCCUGACCUUCACCCUAAUUCCUCACUCCUGGGCUCUUGGCCAACACACUGUCACCACAGACACACAUACACAGCCUUUUCUUCCCUUCUGCUUACCUUCUGCCCUGGAUAUUCCCAGAUAAAGUCCACAGCCAUCUCCGACUCACCCAGAGACCUACAAGUCACACUGAAGUUCUCUCCUAGUUGGACUGAUGUGGCUGAAGCUUGGACAGUGGGUUUGGGGGAGGAAGAUGGGUCUGCCAUGGAGAAGAUGGGCGAGAAAUGGGGACAAACAUGUUGAACUGAUUGUUAGAACGAUUGAAUGAACGGCAGAAUGGUUAAGUUCAUAGAGGAUGAAUGGUUGGGUUGGUUGAAUUGAUAGAGGAUGGGUAGUUGAUGGAACAGGUGAUCUGAUGGAAGAUGGGUGAAUGGAAUGGUGUGACAUGAUUGAGAAUGACUGGAUGGACAGAAAGGUUGCUGGGUGCAAGGUCACUCAAUAGCUGAUUUGCUGGCUGUCUAGACAAGGUAGUUGACUACAUGGGGUGUUGUUGAAAGCUGGUUGGUUGGAUAGAGUUCCAUAAUCCACAGAACCCAAAUCUGAGGUCCCUAAAGGAGACAUCACUCCCCAUGCCCUGCCCACCCAGGCCCCAGGCCCACGCACAGCUGACGUGGAUCAGCAUGUACUUGGUAGAGAUUUGUCUCCAGACACCCAGGCUGGCCAAGCAGAAGAGGGAGCCAGCCAAGGAAGCCCAGGGCCAGUGGACGGUGAAGGCCUUCUUCAUGUAGAAGGACAUGUCGAUCCCAUCCACUGGGACUUCCUCUGGGGGGACCUCCCGCCGCAGUGUCACCUCGCCAGAGGGUUGGUCACCUGGCAGGGAAGCAGGACCGGCUGAUGGCUGCGCCACUGGACCACCUCAUAAUAAUCCUCAGUGGGGACAAAGAGCUCCUCUGGGUCUGGGAAGGAAGGAGGGAGAGAGAAGAAUGAACGUGGCCUAGAUUAGUUAUUUCCUGAUGCUCCACCACCCUCGGGCAUGGUCUUAAAAUCCCACUUUCCCUGCCCCUUCUCAGUCCUAGACUGAGAGCUGAAGGCCGGCCUGCUAGUUCCAGCUUCGUCAUUUCGAUUGACGUUCUUGGAGACCUGGACUUCAGGGCACCUGUGAUGAGGAUGAAGGUCUUCCCCUGGCGGGCCUCGCCGUCUGCGCACUCGCUGUCCUGGCAGUGCUGACCAGCAGCUGUAUUCCCCGGUGUCCGCACCCGUGGACUUGACCAGCUGCAGCUGGCCAUGCUGGCCAAAGUGCUUGAUUCUGAAAGACAGUCGUGGGGCUGGUCCAGGGUGAGGCGGGCAGGAGAUGGGGGUGGCCUGAGACACCUGGUGAGCAGUGUUUAGCAGCCUGACCGUCCCCCUCCCCCGUGUUCAGCAUGCUGCCCACCCAGUCUUCUCUGUUCCCCACUGACAGCAGGAGGAUUUGCAGCGGCCCCACCUGGUUUCUGAUGGCUCGCCUCUCACUGGCCCCAUGCACAUCUUCUACUGGGUCCAUCUACUCAUCCCAGAGCUUGUCCUUACAUUGCAAAUGGCAUCCCCCAAACUCCUCUGUGCUCCUUCCUCGGCUCCUUCCAUGUGUCCCUCUGUUCAGAACAGCAGAGCCCUCUAAGCAACUCCACCCCCUAACAGAGGCGGAGGCCCAGCAAAUCUCACUUUGAGAGGCUGAACUGAGAGACGGUAGACAAAUCCCCUGACCCAGUUUUAUAUCCCAGACUCUGCCUUCUUCUGGGGUGAGCAAUGCUGGUGGGGUAAACUUUGCUUCUAUUUCUGCCUUCCCAAUGUUGGCGUCCCCGACGUAAGGGUAUCUCGGCCUGACAUUCAGGCACAGACAGGCGGGACAGUCAGCCUCCUUCCCUUCCCAUUGCCACCUUUUUCCCUACAGGCACUAUUUGCUGCCCCCAGAGCUGACAUCCCGUACCGUGGGAAGCCACGUCUCCCCUUCUGUUAAACCACUAUGCAUCUGAUGGGUCUUGUGAACCCAUCUUACUGUUUCUUUUUUUUUUUUUUUUUACAUUUUUUUUAAAGAUUGUAUUUAUUGGAGAGAGGGAGAGAAGGAGCAGGGAGAGGGUGUAUGGGGGAGAGGGACAAGCAGACACCACCAAGCCCGGAGCCCUUCACAGGGCUCGAUCCCAGGACUCCUGGAUCAUGACCUGAGCCGAAGUCUGACGCUUAACUGACUGAGCCACCCAGGUGCUCCCUGGUUCUUUUAGAUGCCUGUAGUUCUACCUAAUGGAAGCCCAUUGUGGGUUCUGGAACACUCAAAUCAUCAUAAAAACUGCCCUCAAAUUGUGCACUGCUGCCGCACUCCUAGGACCCAUUCAUGCUGUCACAGGAGAUCCCCCAGCUCGCACCUCAGGUGUCCCUCACCUCCCUCCCCCAGCAGCUCAGCUCCAGGGCAUCCCCAGACCGCAGUCUCAGUGAGUCCCGCCUUCUGGAAGCGGCCCCUCCCCAACACCUGGGUCAGGAUGGAGGCGGCUGGGCGGUGUGGGGCUGCCCCCUCUGUGGGAGUCUUCACCCGCAGGGACUUCUGGCUCAGGUCUGAUUUGGGUUUCCUCCUGCCUGUGGCUCCGGAGGCCUUCACCUCUCCAGGGAUGGCGGCUUUGAGGCCUCUCUUUCUUGGAGCCUUCGGAGUUCUGGCCCGCUCCUGGACUUCAGCUGCAGAGAGACCGCAUCUGGAGGCUGCCCAGAUACCUUGGUUAUGCCCCAUUUAUCCACCCUCGAAGCCACCACUGUUGGAUGCCACCACCUCCCGGGAUCUGCCAUCUGGCCCCUCUUUUGCUUUCAAGGACCCUGGUGAUUACAUUGGGCCCACCUGAAUGAAUGAAUAAUCAAGACCACUUCCCUACUUUAAGGUUCCCCCUGCCAAGGUGAAUGGAGCUAUUCAGAGCUCUCCCUGCUCAG